UACGGGGGGGGCAAGCGUUGUUCGGAAUUACUGGGCGUAAAGGGCUCGUAGGUGGCCAACUAAGUCAGACGUGAAAUCCCUCGGCUUAACCGGGGAACUGCGUCUGAUACUGGAUGGCUAGAGAUUGGGAGAGGGAUGCGGAAUUCCAGGUGUAGCGGUGAAAUGCGUAGAUAUCUGGAGGAACACCGGUGGCGAAGGCGGCAUCCUGGACCGGCAUUGACGCUGAUGAGCGAAAGCCAGGGGAGCAAACGGG
Molecule: ribosomal RNA, 253 nt
Filed under: uncultured bacterium
Lineage: Bacteria
Description: partial 16S ribosomal RNA
Rfam family: Bacterial small subunit ribosomal RNA
Source: RNAcentral